AAUCCUGGCUCAGGAUGAACGCUAGCUACAGGCUUAACACAUGCAAGUCGAGGGGCAGCAUGGUCUUAGCUUGCUAAGGCCGAUGGCGACCGGCGCACGGGUGAGUAACGCGUAUCCAACCUGCCUUACACUCUUGGACAGCCUUCUGAAAGGGAGAUUAAUACAAGAUGUUAUCAUGAGUAAGCAUUUUCGCAUGAUUAAAGGUUUACCGGUGUAAGAUGGGGAUGCGUUCCAUUAGA
Molecule: ribosomal RNA, 239 nt
Filed under: uncultured bacterium
Lineage: Bacteria
Description: partial 16S ribosomal RNA
Rfam family: Bacterial small subunit ribosomal RNA
Source: RNAcentral